This is a long non-coding RNA of Canis lupus familiaris (dog), 2665 nucleotides long. RefSeq lists it as uncharacterized. NCBI's taxonomy places the organism in Eukaryota, Metazoa, Chordata, Mammalia, Carnivora, Canidae. The record is from RefSeq and is a predicted model, not a curated record. The transcript has 3 exons.
CAUGACCUGAGCAGAAACCAAGAACCGGACACUUAACUGACUGAGCCACCCAGGUGCCCUCAGUAAGUAGCAUUUGAAGGGUUAAGAAGCAGAAGCCUGAGAGAAAGGAAAUAAAUGAGGAGGAUAGAAGCAAGGGUGAAGCAUAGACCAUGCCCUCAAGGUCUUCUGCAUCCUCACCAGCACCUGGCCGUCUGCAGGAACUCAAUAACUGCAUAUUGAUUGGACCCAACCUUUACUUGUCAUGAUUGCUUUCUUCGGAUCCCAAGGUAGCUGCUACAGGUAGUCAUUCAGGAGACUAAAAGGCACAUGUCUAAGCAUGUGCUUAUUUUAAAUUUAAUAUAUUCCAGUUUAUAAAGUGUCUCAUGAUUAUAUGAAAGUUAUUAAAACCCAUUUCUUCAUUUUCUCAGAUUUUUCACACAGAAACUUUCAAAGGAGAUCACUUCUCUAGCUAAUCCUAUUUCUUUCCUGUAGUCACCUCUGCCCAUGGUAGUCUUUAAAUACAGCACAUGUUGCUCAUGGUAACACACACGAGAGAAAGAUCUGGGAAACUCAGUGGCCUUUAAUUAUUCAGGAUUUAAUCGUGCAAGCAUGUACAAUCAAUAUUUGUUCAUCUUAAUCUGAUUACCAGCUCGUGGUGUUCAGCACCUCUAUCAACAGGAUAACGAUAUGACACAUUUCAUAGACUUUCCCUAUACUCUUCCAACAAGCUUAUUGGAAGGAUAUUAAUCAGCUAAUGAACUCAUCAAUGGCAUUUUCAGGAGCCACGGCACCUUCCCGCACCUACAUCCCACGACCAUAUUUGCCUGACAUCUUGUGGCCACGAGGAACAUGACAGUCUAUAAAGCCAACAUCUGUACACCGCGAGAACUACAUCUUUGAAUGCUAAUGUCAGCAUCACAGUUAGGGCAAAUACAAAACUGCUUAGGAGAUGUGUGACAUGUAAUUAGUUCAUCUAAUUAAAACGGAAACUAGCCUUUUCUUUUUAUAUUAAAAGGCAAGCUGGAACAUGUGAUUCAAUUCUUCUAAGGAAAGGAACAGGGCCUCUAUCCGUGCUGAACAACAUCUGGCUUAGUGUCAACUACUGUGGCCACAGAACACUUCUCCUGUGAAGGAUCCACCAAACCAGAAUGUGGCUCACUGGCCUGAGCAUAGAAAGAGGACCUGUGGUCAGCUCCUCUGGGAAAGAGGAUUUCAAGCUGAGAUUGCUGCAGCAAAGGGGGAAAAAUCCUCUGGCUGCUAAAGAGAGGACUGAUAAAAGGUUUCAUUUUCAACACAUAUGGUAUAGUGUUGUGGCUCACAAACUUUGUUUUUCAGCACCAGGAACAUUUUGUUCAAAACCAAAUUUAGUGUGGAAUUCUAUAAAUAUAAAACAGAAAACAUUUUAAAAAGAUGCUUUGAUUGAAGCAGGUGAUCUGAGCUCCCCUGGCUUUAGCUGCCCUUGUUCCCCUGAGAUCCUGCCCCAAACCCAGAGCUUGGAGGAAACAGCUUGAAAACCAUUAGAAAGAUGGAAAUUAUUAGAUUUGAAAUCAGAACUCCUAGUUUUGUAUUCCAACUCUCCCUCUUGCUAGCUGAGCAUCAUCUAAUAAGUCAUUAACCUUUCAAAACCUCAGGUUCUUCAUCUAUAAAAUAGGGGAAAUAAUAUUUAUUCCACGGGGUUAUUGGCAACAUUAAAAGAGGCAGUAAAAUGAAAGUGCUGUGUAAUUGCUAGACAAAUGAUUGUGUUGUCAUCAUCAGACAGCUGUAAUGGGUAGUCACGCAACCAAGAGGAACAAGCUCCAGACAAUGCCUUGCAUUGCCUUCUUGACCAGCUCCCAGGAAAUCUGGAGGAAUCCAUUGGAAGCUUCAUUUGACAAAUAUGACUCUGACACUGGUACCCACUCCCACCUUAUGAGAUAACCACAUCAGAAGAUGCGCUUCUUAAAAGAAGGUACACAGAGGCACAGAGAGGUUGUAGUUUGUCUCUGAGCACACAGCAAGCUCGUGACGGACCUAGAACUAGAUUCCAUUUGUCUCGUCUCUCUGUGAUCAUCUACCUGCCUAGGACAGCCUGCCUUACAUAGGACCCCAGUCUACGUCUGUGAAGGGAGGAAGGACAACCAGGGCUGCACUGAAGAAAUCCAAUGAAAAUAACAGUAAGGCAAUUCCAGAAUCAUUUCUGGAAGCUGGGAGGUGCCUGGGAUCAGCAGGAAGAAAGGGAGCAUUUGCUUCCCUUGGGGAUGGAAUAUGUUCUCUCUGCUAGGAAUAGAAUCAGGAGAUGUUUCUAGGUAUUACCAAUGGAGGAAUAAUCUGGACCAACCACAAUAAUCUUGAUUGACCAUCCCAUGACUGGGUGGGUACCCAGAGCCCGAAGAGAGUGUGCUACUGAGUGAGGAGGUGAAGCCAGAGGCACCGCCGUGACAGCCAGCUGGAUGUGAUCCAUGAGCUAGGAUGCAGACAAACACAGAAGCCCUGGCUUAUCCCACAGCACAUGUUUAACUAGAAUAACUUCUGAGGAAAAGACAUAUCAUUUCCAGGGGAGAACUUCAAGAAUGAGUUAUGUGAUGCAUGAUUCUGACCCAAAAAAGAGGAUAUAAGAAGGAUCAUAUAUCCUACCAAACCCUCUCCUUUGGCUGAAAAUUAUAUGGUUGUAUUGUAUCAUUAAAGAUAAUUCAAAAGAAAAUGGAUA